GAAUGCUGAGAAAGUUGGUAUUG
This 23-nucleotide non-coding RNA is filed under the name Arabidopsis thaliana (thale cress). The record is from RNAcentral. Lineage: Eukaryota; Viridiplantae; Streptophyta; Magnoliopsida; Brassicales; Brassicaceae.